This is a transfer RNA of Loxodonta africana (African savanna elephant), 74 nucleotides long. It matches the Rfam family "tRNA". From Rfam's summary of the family: Transfer RNA (tRNA) molecules are approximately 80 nucleotides in length. Their secondary structure includes four short double-helical elements and three loops (D, anti-codon, and T loops). Further hydrogen bonds mediate the characteristic L-shaped molecular structure. tRNAs have two regions of fundamental functional importance: the anti-codon, which is responsible for specific mRNA codon recognition, and the 3' end, to which the tRNAs corresponding amino acid is attached (by aminoacyl-tRNA synthetases). tRNAs cope with the degeneracy of the genetic code in two manners: having more than one tRNA (with a specific anti-codon) for a particular amino acid; and 'wobble' base-pairing, i.e. permitting non-standard base-pairing at the 3rd anti-codon position. NCBI's taxonomy places the organism in Eukaryota, Metazoa, Chordata, Mammalia, Proboscidea, Elephantidae. The record is from Rfam.
CUCUGAGUGGUGGAAACAGUUAAUGCAUUUGGCUGCUAACCAAAAGGUUGGAGGUUUGAGUCCACCUUGGAAGA